UACGUAGGUGGCAAGCGUUGUCCGGAUUUACUGGGUGUAAAGGGCGUGCAGCCGGGAAUGCAAGUCAGAUGUGAAAUCCCGCGGCUCAACCGCGGAACUGCAUUUGAAACUGUGUUUCUUGAGUACUGGAGAGGCAGACGGAAUUCCUAGUGUAGCGGUGAAAUGCGUAGAUAUUAGGAGGAACACCAGUGACGAAGGCGGUCUGCUGGACAGCAACUGACGGUGAGGCGCGAAAGCGUGGGGAGCAAACAGG
RNAcentral lists this ribosomal RNA (253 nucleotides) under uncultured bacterium. Its description in RNAcentral is "partial 16S ribosomal RNA". It matches the Rfam family "Bacterial small subunit ribosomal RNA", at positions 524 to 776 of the family's 1533-position model. The record is from RNAcentral.